This is a long non-coding RNA of Harmonia axyridis, 2047 nucleotides long. RefSeq lists it as uncharacterized. The transcript has 4 exons. The record is from RefSeq and is a predicted model, not a curated record. NCBI's taxonomy places the organism in Eukaryota, Metazoa, Arthropoda, Insecta, Coleoptera, Coccinellidae.
UUGAUUUCAUCGAAAAUGCAUUAUAAUUGAUGAAUAAUUGAUUGGCCGUAUGGACAAAUAUUAAUUUCAUGGAAAUGAAGAAUUUAUUUGGAACCCCAUCAAUAAUCCUCAGUUAAUACAUAAGUUAAUAUCACACUACAUCAUAGACCUAAUAUCAGACUUUAGGUCUAUGCACUACAUUUAUUUACGCAUACUAUUUCAUUUAAUAAUGCUGAAUCUAUAUGUGGUCGAUUGAAAUAAAUAUAGCUGAGUGUUAUGUUUUAUUUAUUAAUAAUUAAUGAAUAGAAUUUAUUUGUAACAUUUUAUUCAAUUUCAAUAUUCAUCAGAACAACUCAUAGUUCUGUGAUUUCAUUUGUCAUUCUCAAAUAUACCGCCAUUUUAACCAGCAUUAAGGUUAGAAUAUUUCACCAGUUAAAUUUUGAUGAUGAAAGAAUCACUCUUGAAUUUUAGCUUAGUUUCUUGAGCUUGCAAAGUGUAUAUAUUAUGAAUAUUUAAUGGUGGAAAUCGUAUUCAAUUUUUUACGCUAGUGAGAAAAUCUAAAUACACAUCGAGUGCGAUGUAAUCAAUCAAUCACAAAUCAUAUUGAUCCUGGCAGAUUAUUACCUGAUCAUCAGCGAAAUGUAUAAAUGAAGAAAUAUUGAAACGAUUACCCGAUUUCCUACUGAAAAAUUGUACAUCAUCCACUUUAACAAUUCAAGAAUUAGAAAUAAUUAGGCACUAUUCUGGAGGAAAGUAGUAUUGAAUCAUUAUAUGAUCAUCUCUUAGUUGCAAAAAAUAUUUGUUGAUGACCUCAAAGUAAUAAGUAAAAGUUAUAUGUGAAAUGGGCUCACAAAUUAGGUUUCAGCAGAAGCUAGGAGUUUGGCAACAAUAUAUUGGUCAUCCAUUCCGCAUGAAUUUCAUUGUGUAAUAAUUGUUGAACUCAUAGCACUCAUCCCGAGUACCUUCUGAAGUUUUAUCCUAUUCCUCCUGUAGUUAUACACUGUAUUCAAGAGCGAUAACACCUGAUGAAAGCAGUUUAAUUCAUUUAUCCAAUAUCCUCAAUGAAACUCCAAGAUUUUAUUAAUUUCAAUGAUUGCCCAAUAUUGACAAAAAAUAUAGGAACGAUUUUCUACUGAAAAAUUGGUGAGAUUCUGUUCAUUACAAAAUUAAAUAAACAAUUAAAAUUUUAUUGAACGACUAAACAGGGAAGACUCAACAAUAAGUUGUCAAAUAUGAAAAAAUCAAUUAAUUGUACAAUUUCCAAGCAUAUCAAUGAACGAAACACAAAGAAGAAUCUUCAAAAUGCUCGAAAACACUCUCUGAAAAAACAUUUGGUAAGAAAAUUUAAGUUGUGCGGUGUUCAUAAGCUCACGGAAUUGGUUCGACUCAUUCAAUAAUACAUUAUUUUCAGCUGACAUAAAUUUCCGAAUGGUUUUUGGUAAAUCAAACUCCCUUUUCACAGGUUGGGAGAGGUGCUAUCAAAACAUCAUCACAUUCCUCAUGAAAGAGAAAAACGAGAAACAAAAAACUGUGAGAGAACUUCUGGGCACUGUUAGUGAAGGAAAUUUCAGUGAAAAUGGACAAGAUGCUUCAAUUGUUUGGAACUUAUUUGGUGCCUACGAUGGUUGCCAUUACUGGACAAAGAACACAACCAAAUAUAAAAUUAAAGAUUCUCAGGGAUCAUUCCUGUUUGUUGGAAGGUAGAUUCAGGAAAUGGAAGAUCAUAUAGAAUAUUAAAAAACAAGAUUAACAACCCCAUACAUCCAUUUAUAAGAGGGAUUGCAUCGGAGAUGAUAUAAAAUGUAUACAUGAAUUGUUUGUAUAUUUUGAUGACAGAAGAUUCGAAUUCCAUAGUUUUUACAGAGUGGUUGAUAUUUGAGUCAAAAUUAUAUGUUUUACCUAGAUUUUUCUAGAAAAUCCUCAAUGGUUUGGUCUUAUUUUCAUUAGCUAUGAACCUCUUUAGCAUUUUCUAGUGUGUAUAUUUGAUCAGAAGUAAUAGAAGUGUACAAAAUAUAAACAUAAUAUUAUGUAUUGUUAUAUAUUAUACAUAUAAAAAAAAAUUGUAUUA